RNAcentral lists this transfer RNA (67 nucleotides) under Meloe proscarabaeus. RNAcentral's name for it is "tRNA-Asn". The record is from RNAcentral. Lineage: Eukaryota; Metazoa; Arthropoda; Insecta; Coleoptera; Meloidae.
UUAAUUGAAACCAAAGGUAGAGGUAUGCCACUGUUAAUGGCAUUAUUGAAAAUAAUUUCCAAUUAAA